Molecule: ribosomal RNA, 253 nt
Filed under: uncultured bacterium
Lineage: Bacteria
Description: partial 16S ribosomal RNA
Rfam family: Bacterial small subunit ribosomal RNA
Source: RNAcentral
UACGUAGGGUGCGAGCGUUGUCCGGAAUUAUUGGGCGUAAAGGGCUCGUAGGCGGUCUGUUGCGUCAGGAGUGAAAACUCGGGGCUUAACCCCGAGCCUGCUUCUGAUACGGGCAGACUAGAGGUAUGCAGGGGAGAACGGAAUUCCUGGUGUAGCGGUGAAAUGCGCAGAUAUCAGGAGGAACACCGGUGGCGAAGGCGGUUCUCUGGGCAGUACCUGACGCUGAGGAGCGAAAGCGUGGGGAGCGAACAGG